CUUUUCCUCUCCUUUGUUUAUAUCCAAUAGCUUGAGAGCGAGUGGCAAGUAGUGUGCAAUGACUGAAUAUUGCUACAGUAUUUACCUCUAGAUCUAUUCUUUUUCCUACUUAUUGUUUGGUAAGGUUAUUUUCUCUCUGCUUUUAUGUUCAGAAUCAUAGCAUAAGGCCAUAAUGCAGCCAACUAACUGACUUUGGAGGGCAGAUUUAUGUUCCAAAUGGAUAUGUACUAUUAUUGGUCGGCUGCAGUAUUAUAGCACCACAUCAAAUUCAAGUAGGCGGCAAUAGAAUAGAUUUGUUAACAUUCUACCCAAUGAUUUUGGAACAUACGUACGGUGGUCACGCAGUUCAUUCAAUCAAAGGUGUAUUCAAGAAUUUCUUUGUUAAAAGACACAGACCAAACGCUUUAUCAUAGACUGGAGAAUCUUUUUCAAGAAUGCUUCAAGUAAGACCUGUAUGUGUAGUUUGAGUUGUGUGAUAGUCAGCCUGCUCAAAUGCCUCCUCAGUUCGCGAGAAUUUUCGUGUGCCAUACCUGAAUUCUAAGCCUUCACAUGUCAUCAUUAUAAUCCCAUAUUUGAGAGUACUCUUCCUAUUUGCUAUGUCUGCUUACUAUGCUAAUUGAGAUUCUAAUUAAAGUUGCAAUAUAGAUAUAUUUUAGUUCACUACUGUGGCGACUGUGAUCAAAAGUUGCAGUACAGCUAUAUUUUACUUCACUUCUCUUUCAAUGAUUGGACAUUAAUUUCUCCUUAUUCAUUGAACUUUUUUACAGAUGACACUCAGUUUGUAGGGUUUACAGUUCCCGUGCAUAAGGCAAAGCUGUUACUGAAGUAAAUAUACGAAUCAUUCUUCUAGGUUUACUCCGGUGAGCCAACAAAUAAAGUGACCGAUGCAACCUGAAGCUGCACCGGCAAACCAGCAAGCUCCUUCACUUGACAGGGGAAAACAAAAUAUUUGUUCUUCUUUGCAAAAUAAUAUGUAUAAAUGAUCAGUGAGGUAGCGCUUGCCGAUGAAAUCAAGUUCUUGCUACCGUUGUUGAUAUAACCAUACUAUUUUUUCUGUUUAAUCACAGAGUCCUACUUGAUAAAAAAACUUACGGGUAACAACAGUUGUACACACCAUAUUCCGACAGGAAUAAAAUAUCAACAGUAAUGAAGAAGGUGAUAAAUUAAUUGGGAUCUUCCGUUCAACAUGGUGGAGCUGGCGUACAACAUCUGAUACGGGCUCUCUUUCCCUACAAUUUUAUCUGUCGACAACCAUGUUCUCCUCUUCUCCGGCUAAAGGGAUACUUGCAGCCUAGACUCCCCUACAAAUCAAAAUAGAGGAGUUCAGGCCGAAGAUCAAAUAAAAUGCACAUAUCAGGUGUGCCACCGAGGAGCCAUUUUAAUCGGAACUCAACACCGAAACCAUUCGAGCCAUCUAUGCUAGCCUAGGCAUGGAAAUCAUCCUCCUUUCCCGUGACAAUGAAGAUGUGACUUUGGUAAAUACAGAUUGCUCCCAAGUAGAAAUAAUCCAGAAGGUUGUCCAAGAAUAAUGUUCUAUGUUUUUAGGCCCCGGUUAGCAAGUGUGUUGUGAAUAGUAUGAAAUACAGGGAUUGCACAGUCUGCUUUAUCUUCGAUGGUGUAAUG
This is a long non-coding RNA of Lolium rigidum, 1623 nucleotides long. RefSeq lists it as uncharacterized. NCBI's taxonomy places the organism in Eukaryota, Viridiplantae, Streptophyta, Magnoliopsida, Poales, Poaceae. The record is from RefSeq and is a predicted model, not a curated record. The transcript has 4 exons.